Long non-coding RNA from Cyprinodon tularosa, 1642 nucleotides. RefSeq lists it as uncharacterized. The transcript has 5 exons. Lineage: Eukaryota; Metazoa; Chordata; Actinopteri; Cyprinodontiformes; Cyprinodontidae. The record is from RefSeq and is a predicted model, not a curated record.
CUUUACCCCGCUGCUAGAUUUAUUUUUUUAGAUGCUAAGGAGUCUGGCAGGUCUAGGGAUGCCUUAGGUAGCGUCUUGCACCCUGGCUUUUCUUUACCCCGCUGCUAGAUUUUGAUGUAAGUUUUAGAUGUUAAGAAUUUCUGUUAGCACAGACAUCUGAGGAAAUGAUAACAACUAAUAAAGCAGAAAUAGUCUAACAUGCUCUACAUCUAAUGUGGACAUUCUGCUAGAUAACAGAAGGAAACCCAAACAGUUUUGACAAGAUUAAACACAGAAUGGAGGCAAAUCAACAAAAACAAAUAAAUAAAAAACACAAAAAGACAGAAAUUAAAUCCUGGUUAAAAGAUCAACCACAAGGAGGCAAACCAAUUCAACGAAACAGCUGGACAUCACUGCUGAGGACAAUGGAGGAGGUCAAACUUAAACCCUAAAGGAGAAAAACAGGAAAGAAUGGAACAGAGACACAGCUUGUGGUGAUCAUCAGUUGGUGUGGUCUCUGGGAUGCUGGUGAGAAGGUAGAGAGAUGACGCUUGGUGGGGCUAAUUGAUUUAGACCAGUUAGAGGCAGAGGACAGGACUGAUGUGAGGAUUUGAGUUAGGAGAAGCACCGACUGUUAGAAACGGCUUUCCGGUGUGACUUGGUCUAGUUCUAGAUGUUCCUCUGGUUAGUUAGUUUUCAGGCCUAGUUGGAGGGAAAAGAACCCUCUGCAGAAAUAUUCUCCAUAUCAUCUAGGCCUGUCCUGACCGCAGUGGAUCUCUUCUGUGUUUUUUGAAUCCCAUGUUGGACCGAGCCUCUCCAAGCUUUGGGCCAUCAGAAGAUGCUGAUGAGAUCUGCAGCGACCAAACCAGAGGAGGAUCGUCUGGGCUGCUGACCUUCACAAAGGACACCGUGGACGUCCAAAAGCAAAACUCCUGUGAGGAACCGGGACAUCCAGGAUGGUGAGGUGCUUUCCAGUCCCCACCUGAGGACGGCACAGAGAAAGACUGGAACAGAAAACACACGGAGGAAAGCAGGUUGAACAGCUAGCAGUGUUCUAGCAGUCGGAUCACAUUGGAACAGAAUCCAUCCACACAUGUUUGGAGGAGCUGAAGAAGAGGACGGAGCACACAGUCCACUAAGCAGGAGAAACAUGGCUCCUCUAUUUGUCUCUCCAACAUUCUGGAGUCUAAAAAACGUUGACGACCUCGCAGCUAAACCAUCAGUCUGCUACACCCAGGAGAAGAAGAUAAGGUCAUCUGCUCCUUGGACCGGUGUCUAUGUGAUUGGCUGUGCUUUCUUGGAUUGAAUUCUGUGAAUGCCAUGAUAAACUGUAUUUAUCUUUACCAUAUUGUAAAUAGGAUCUAACCGGAUGUUUGUGUUUAGAUUUUAUUCUGUGUUUUUUUUUUUUACUUCUGUUACAUGUUUCUGUAUUAAAAUUGUCAUGUUAAUUGCCUUUAGAUGACAUUUGUUGGGACUUGUUUCUAUUUUAAAACUUAUUUAUAUUAAAUCCCCUUACUGGGUCUGGUUCUGUUUAAGUAUGCUUCCUGUCGUUUUAUCUUCAUCUGUUAUUUCUCACUAUAAUAAAGGUUUCAUUGCAGUAAUGUGAACAGGAUCUGUUUGUAUUUUCUGGUUAAGUGUCUUGAAAUAAGUUGUUGUAAACUGA